This is a long non-coding RNA of Bos taurus (domestic cattle), 1389 nucleotides long. The record is from Ensembl. Lineage: Eukaryota; Metazoa; Chordata; Mammalia; Artiodactyla; Bovidae.
AACUCUGACCUGAACUUUCUCUUUCGCAGUGGGCUCAUCUUCACUUCUUUCUCUUUAGAGCUGUCUUGACUGACUUUUCUUGCCCUGCUCCGACCUUCCCUUUGAUGCCUUUGGGGUUUCCUUUUCUCCACGCUCUCAUUGGAGACCCAAGCUCCCCAGAUCCCAUUCUCCUCCAACUGGUGAUUUACAUACUUAAACUGUCUGCAAACUCCCUUCGCCUGGUAGUUCAGUGGGUUCUCACAUCCUCAAGAUUCCCAAAGCAAAGAUUACCUUUCUCAAAACCUCCCCUGAUACUAUUACCUCAGUGUAAGGCAUCAUUCAUCAAAUAAAAAUGAAAACCGAAUGGGACAUUUUCUUGUCUCCCCUCCCUGGAGCUCUAUUUCACUAACACCCAGUAUAAAACAGCGUACUGAGACAGUCUCGUCUCGCCUCCUCCAAGUGUUCAUCUUUGGUCUCCAGCCAGCCCUUGUCUACAUUCUCAGCCUCUCCUGUUUUGCUCUCUGCUUGAUUUAUUCUCACUUGACCACUUCCCACAGGAAACAAGUACCUCUUUUCACUUCUCCCCUAACAUUUUACACAUAUCUCAAACCUUGGGAUACUUUCAAGUAGAAGCGGAAUGCAAUGACUUAAGUACGUAGCCUCUGAACUCAGCUUCACCACUUACCAGCAGACAGCUUACUUAACCUCUCUUAACCUUACUUAAUCGUCGUUCUCACAUCCACAGAUUGGAAGACGACCAUAGUACACAAGGCAAAAUCAAGCAAUUGGCUGAAAAAUUGGAGGAGUGCACAAAUUAUAACCUCAAGAAAUAACCCACUUCAAGAAAUAUGUCAUUAAGAAGUUUCAAAGUUAAUCAUGACUUAUAUACAGCGAGACUACAGCUGCACCCCAGUGAGCAACGCGUGCGCGUGCGGCCAGCCAGUGGCUCUGCUCCCAGCUGCAGCUCCUGGGGGAAGUUGGGGAAGAGCCCUGCCCCUCCUCAGUACCUCUGGUCCCCCAACCACAACCACAGCUGCAUCCCAAACAAUGGCUCCACGAGGCCACAGACAUGACGUGCAAAUUUGGGGAAAAUGUCUGCUUCCCUCUCCUCCACCAUCAGAAACUGAAUGGUGCCUUUGUUUUGAGUGUAUUUUAGCACGGUUCUUUUCUUUAGUGAUAGAAGCACACAAUAGGUCAGAGGAGGAUAUAAAAACUCAAGAUGUCGAGCUCUCACACUCAUAGGCCGAAUGACAUUUUUCUCUUUCCAUAAGUCCCAGUAUUUUCUGGAAGAUUUGAGAAGAUCUGAGAUUCUAAUGAAGGAAUCACUAAACACUAUGUUUUAAAAUUUUGAAAAGGUACCUGGGUACUUCUUAAUUUUCAAAUCAUAAUUUUCAAAAGAGUUCACACAGU